CUGCUGCCUCCCGUAGGAGUCUGGGCCGUGUCUCAGUCCCAAUGUGGCCGUCCACCCUCUCAGGCCGGCUACUGAUCGUUGCCUUGGUGUGCUUUUACCACUCCAACUAGCUAAUCAGACGCGGGUCCAUCUCAUACCAGAUUUCUCCUUUUCACACUAAAACAUGCGUUUCCGUGCGCUUAUGCGGUUUUACCACCAGUUUCCCGAUGCUAUCCCCCUGUAUGAGGCAGGUUGCCCACGCGUUACUCACCCGUCCG
RNAcentral lists this ribosomal RNA (257 nucleotides) under uncultured bacterium. RNAcentral's name for it is "partial 16S ribosomal RNA". The record is from RNAcentral.